GUCGACGCUGAAGCCUGGUGCUUGCACCGGGUGGAUGAGUGGCGAACGGGUGAGUAACACGUGAGUAACCUGCCCCUGACUUCGGGAUAAGCCCGGGAAACUGGGUCUAAUACCGGAUACGACUGCCGGACGCAUGUCUGGUGGUGGAAAGUUUUUUCGGUUGGGGAUGGGCUCGCGGCCUAUCAGUUUGUUGGUGAGGUAAUGGCUCACCAAGACGACGACGGGUAGCCGGCCUGAGAGGGCGACCGGCCACACUGGGACUGAGACACGGCCCAGACUCCUACGGGAGGCAGCAGUGGGGAAUAUUGCACAAUGGGGGAAACCCUGAUGCAGCGACGCAGCGUGCGGGAUGACGGCCUUCGGGUUGUAAACCGCUUUCAGCAGGGAAGAAGCGCAAGUGACGGUACCUGCAGAAGAAGUACCGGCUAACUACGUGCCAGCAGCCGCGGUAAUACGUAGGGUACGAGCGUUGUCCGGAAUUAUUGGGCGUAAAGAGCUCGUAGGUGGUUGGUCACGUCUGCUGUGGAAACGCAACGCUUAACGUUGCGCGUGCAGUGGGUACGGGCUGACUAGAGUGCAGUAGGGGAGUCUGGAAUUCCUGGUGUAGCGGUGAAAUGCGCAGAUAUCAGGAGGAACACCGGUGGCGAAGGCGGGACUCUGGGCUGUAACUGACACUGAGGAGCGAAAGCAUGGGGAGCGAACAGGAUUAGAUACCCUGGUAGUCCAUGCCGUAAACGUUGGGCACUAGGUGUGGGGGGCAUUCCACGUUCUCCGCGCCGUAGCUAACGCAUUAAGUGCCCCGCCUGGGGAGUACGGUCGCAAGGCUAAAACUCAAAGGAAUUGACGGGGGCCCGCACAAGCGGCGGAGCAUGCGGAUUAAUUCGAUGCAACGCGAAGAACCUUACCAAGGCUUGACAUACACCGGACCGUCCUGGAAACAGGUCCUCUUCUUUGAAGCUGGUGUACAGGUGGUUGCAUGGUUGUCGUCAGCUCGUGUCGUGAAAAGUUUGGGUUAAGUCCCGCAACGAGCGCAACCCUCGUUCUAUGUUGCCAGCAUGUGGAUGGUGGGAACUCAUAGG
RNAcentral lists this ribosomal RNA (1079 nucleotides) under uncultured bacterium. RNAcentral describes it as "bacterial SSU rRNA". It matches the Rfam family "Bacterial small subunit ribosomal RNA", at positions 61 to 1145 of the family's 1533-position model. The record is from RNAcentral.